GAUCCUGGCUCAGGACGAACGCUGGCGGCGCGCCUAACACAUGCAAGUCGGAACGGGGUUAUACGGGAUGAAGUUUUCGGAUGGAAUUCUAUAUAACCUAGUGGCGGACGGGUGAGUAACACGUGAGCAACCUGCCUAUCAGGAGGGGGAUAACGAUUGGAAACGAUCGCUAAUACCGCAUGACAUAGCGGGGAAGGCAUCUUCCUGCUAUCAAAGAUUUAUCGCUGAUAGAUGGGGCUCCGG
This 243-nucleotide ribosomal RNA is filed under the name uncultured bacterium. Its description in RNAcentral is "partial 16S ribosomal RNA". It matches the Rfam family "Bacterial small subunit ribosomal RNA", at positions 15 to 236 of the family's 1533-position model. The record is from RNAcentral.